RNAcentral lists this ribosomal RNA (220 nucleotides) under uncultured bacterium. Its description in RNAcentral is "partial 16S ribosomal RNA". It matches the Rfam family "Bacterial small subunit ribosomal RNA", at positions 127 to 334 of the family's 1533-position model. The record is from RNAcentral.
UGCCUCCGAGUGGGGGAUAACGUCCCGAAAGGGACGCUAAUACCGCAUGACAUCCUGCCCUUGGAAGGGCGGAGAUCAAAGCUGGGGAUCGCAAGACCUGGCGCUUGAAGAGGGGCCCGCGCCUGAUUAGCUAGUUGGUGGGGUAAAGGCCUACCAAGGCGACGAUCCUUAGCUGGUCUGAGAGGAUGAUCAGCCACACUGGGACUGAGACACGGCCCAG